GUAGGUGAACCUGCGGAAGGAUCAUUAAAAAUGAAGCCGGGAAACCGGUCCUUCUAACCCUUGAUUAUCUUAAUUUGUUGCUUUGGUGGGCCGCGCAAGCACCGGCUUCGGCUGGAUUGUGCCCGCCAGAGGACCACAACUCUUGUUUUUAGUGAUGUCUGAGUACUAUAUAAUAGUUAAAACUUUCAACAACGGAUCUCUUGGUUCUG
RNAcentral lists this unclassified non-coding RNA (209 nucleotides) under rhizosphere metagenome. RNAcentral describes it as "partial ribosomal RNA internal transcribed spacer region". The record is from RNAcentral.